UACGGGGGGUGCGAGCGUUAAUCGGAAUAACUGGGCGUAAAGGGCACGCAGGCGGACUUUUAAGUGAGGUGUGAAAUCCCCGGGCUUAACCUGGGAAUUGCAUUUGAUACUGGGAGGCUAGAGUACUGUAGGGAGGGGUAGAAUUCCACGUGUAGCGGCGAAAUGCGUAGAGAUCUGGAGGAAUACCGAUGGCGAAGGCAGCCCCUUGGGCAUGUACUGACGCUCAUGUGCGAAAGCGUGGGGAGCAAACAGG
Molecule: ribosomal RNA, 253 nt
Filed under: uncultured bacterium
Lineage: Bacteria
Description: partial 16S ribosomal RNA
Rfam family: Bacterial small subunit ribosomal RNA
Source: RNAcentral